RNAcentral lists this ribosomal RNA (671 nucleotides) under uncultured bacterium. Its description in RNAcentral is "bacterial SSU rRNA". It matches the Rfam family "Bacterial small subunit ribosomal RNA", at positions 77 to 743 of the family's 1533-position model. The record is from RNAcentral.
UGCUCUCUUGGUGGCGAGUGGCGGACGGGUGAGUAAUAUAUCGGAACGUGCCCAGUAGCGGGGGAUAACUACUCGAAAGAGUGGCUAAUACCGCAUACGCCCUACGGGGGAAAGGGGGGGAUUCUUCGGAACCUCUCACUAUUGGAGCGGCCGAUAUCGGAUUAGCUAGUUGGUGGGGUAAAGGCUCACCAAGGCAACGAUCCGUAGCUGGUUUGAGAGGACGACCAGCCACACUGGGACUGAGACACGGCCCAGACUCCUACGGGAGGCAGCAGUGGGGAAUUUUGGACAAUGGGGGAAACCCUGAUCCAGCCAUCCCGCGUGUAUGAUGAAGGCCUUCGGGUUGUAAAGUACUUUUGGCAGAGAAGAAAAGGUAUCUCCUAAUACGGGAUACUGCUGACGGUAUCUGCAGAAUAAGCACCGGCUAACUACGCGCCAGCAGCCGCGGUAAUACGUAGGGUGCAAGCGUUAAUCGGAAUUACUGGGCGUAAAGCGUGUGUAGGCGGUUCGGAAAGAAAGAUGUGAAAUCCCAGGGCUCAACCUUGGAACUGCAUUUUUAACUGCCGAGCUAGAGUAUGUCAGAGGGGGGUAGAAUUCCACGUGUAGCAGUGAAAUGCGUAGAUAUGUGGAGGAAUACCGAUGGCGAAGGCAGCCCCCUGGGAUAAUACUGA